UACGGAGGGUGCAAGCGUUAAUCGGAAUUACUGGGCGUAAAGAGUGCGUAGGUGGUUUAUUAAGUUAUCUGUGAAAUCCCUGGGCUUAACCUGGGCAGGUCAGAUAAGACUGGUGAACUCGAGUAUAGGAGAGGGUAGUGGAAUUUCCGGUGUAGCGGUGAAAUGCGUAGAGAUCGGAAGGAACACCAGUGGCGAAGGCGGCUACCUGGCCUGAUACUGACACUGAGGCACGAAAGCGUGGGGAGCAAACAGGAUUAGAUACCCGGGUAGU
RNAcentral lists this ribosomal RNA (271 nucleotides) under uncultured bacterium. RNAcentral describes it as "partial 16S ribosomal RNA". It matches the Rfam family "Bacterial small subunit ribosomal RNA", at positions 524 to 794 of the family's 1533-position model. The record is from RNAcentral.